RNAcentral lists this transfer RNA (76 nucleotides) under Ancalomicrobiaceae bacterium. Its description in RNAcentral is "tRNA-Lys". It matches the Rfam family "tRNA". From Rfam's summary of the family: Transfer RNA (tRNA) molecules are approximately 80 nucleotides in length. The record is from RNAcentral. Lineage: Bacteria; Pseudomonadati; Pseudomonadota; Alphaproteobacteria; Hyphomicrobiales; Ancalomicrobiaceae.
GGGCGCGUAGCUCAGUUGGUAGAGCAGCUGACUCUUAAUCAGCGGGUCUGCGGUUCGAAACCGCACGCGCCCACCA